CGUGGGGGAUGAAGGCCUUCGGAUUGUAAACCCCUUUCAGCAGGGAAGAAGCGAGAGUGACGGUACCUGCAGAAGAAGCGCCGGCUAACUACGUGCCAGCAGCCGCGGUAAUACGUAGGGCGCAAGCGUUGUCCGGAAUUAUUGGGCGUAAAGAGCUCGUAGGCGGUUUGUCGCGUCUGGUGUGAAAACUCAAGGCUCAACCUUGAGCUUGCAUCGGGUACGGGCAGACUAGAGUGCGGUAGGGGUGACUGGAAUUCCUGGUGUAGCGGUGGAAUGCGCAGAUAUCAGGAGGAACACCGAUGGCGAAGGCAGGUCACUGGGCCGCAACUGACGCUGAGGAGCGAAAGCAUGGGGAGCGAACAGGAUUAGAUACCCUGGUAGUCCAUGCCGUAAACGUUGGGCACUAGGUGUGGGGCUCAUUCCACGAGUUCCGUGCCGCAGCUAACGCAUUAAGUGCCCCGCCUGGGGAGUACGGCCGCAAGGCUAAAACUCAAAGGAAUUGACGGGGGCCCGCACAAGCGGCGGAGCAUGCGGAUUAAUUCGAUGCAACGCGAAGAACCUUACCAAGGCUUGACAUGCACCGGAACUGCUCAGAGAUGGGUAGGUCUUCGGACUGGUGCACAGGUGGUGCAUGGUUGUCGUCAGCUCGUGUCGUGAGAUGUUGGGUUAAGUCCCGCAACGAGCGCAACCCUCGUCCUAUGUUGCCAGCACGUGAUGGUGGGGACUCAUAGGAGACUGCCGGGGUCAACUCGGAGGAAGGUGGGGAUGACGUCAAAUCAUCAUGCCCCUUAUGUCUUGGGCUUCACGCAUGCUACAAUGGCCGGUACAAAGGGCUGCGAUACCGCGAGGUGGAGCGAAUCCCAAAAAGCCGGUCUCAGUUCGGAUUGGGGUCUGCAACUCGACCCCAUGAAGUCGGAGUCGCUAGUAAUCGCAGAUCAGCAACGCUGCGGCGAAUACGUUCCCGGGCCUUGUACACACCGCCCGUCAAGUCACGAAAGUCGGUAACACCCGAAGCCGGUGGCCUAACCCCUUGUGGGAUGGAGCCGUCGAAGGUGGGAUUGGCGAUUGGGACU
This 1073-nucleotide ribosomal RNA is filed under the name uncultured bacterium. Its description in RNAcentral is "bacterial SSU rRNA". It matches the Rfam family "Bacterial small subunit ribosomal RNA", at positions 400 to 1482 of the family's 1533-position model. The record is from RNAcentral.